Molecule: ribosomal RNA, 542 nt
Filed under: Klebsiella oxytoca
Lineage: Bacteria; Pseudomonadati; Pseudomonadota; Gammaproteobacteria; Enterobacterales; Enterobacteriaceae
Description: partial 23S ribosomal RNA
Rfam family: Bacterial large subunit ribosomal RNA
Source: RNAcentral
GGUUAAGCGACUAAGCGUACACGGUGGAUGCCCUGGCAGUCAGAGGCGAUGAAGGACGUGCUAAUCUGCGAAAAGCGUCGGUAAGGUGAUAUGAACCGUUAUAGCCGGCGAUGUCCGAAUGGGGAAACCCAGUGCAAUUCGUUGCACUAUCGUUAACUGAAUACAUAGGUUAACGAGGCGAACCGGGGGAACUGAAACAUCUAAGUACCCCGAGGAAAAGAAAUCAACCGAGAUUCCCCCAGUAGCGGCGAGCGAACGGGGAGCAGCCCGGAGUCUGAAUCAGCUUGUGUGUUAGUGGAAGCGUCUGGAAAGUCGCAGGGUACAGGGUGAUACUCCCGUACACUAAAACAUACAGGCUGUGAACUCGAAGAGUAGGGCGGGACACGUGGUAUCCUGUCUGAAUAUGGGGGGACCAUCCUCCAAGGCUAAAUACUCCUGACUGACCGAUAGUGAACCAGUACCGUGAGGGAAAGGCGAAAAGAACCCCGGCGAGGGGAGUGAAAAAGAACCUGAAACCGUGUACGUACAAGCAGUAGGAGCCC